Molecule: long non-coding RNA, 362 nt
Organism: Myotis lucifugus (little brown bat)
Lineage: Eukaryota; Metazoa; Chordata; Mammalia; Chiroptera; Vespertilionidae
Exons: 3
Source: RefSeq, a predicted model, not a curated record
GCGGGGCGUCCACACCGACGCGGGGAAGAUGGGCCCGAAGGGACUCUCGCCCGCGGCCCGGCCUCCCAGCGCCUCCGUUGUUCCCCGGCGCCUGCCUUUCGGCGGCUCGCAGAUGCCUCCGGUCCCCACGGUGCCUCCGAAAAGAAGGUUAUGAGGUUGACGUGAGGGAACGAUAAAAAGCAUAUUCCCGCCUCCCCCAGCUUGCCAGCGGGGUGUGUGCAAGAACCAAGGGAGAGGCAAUAGAACUGUUGAAAGGGAGGACUGAAGACCUUUCAAAUGAAGGGAGAGCAAGAAAAUUAGGGGAAAUAGUUUCCUACAGAAGCUCUUGGGAGCCCUCGCCGGAUUGGCCCAGUGGAUAGAGC